ACUAGCUGGACAGCUUCUACGCCUUUAGCCAAGUGGCUUCUUACUGCGUACCGACUUACCUUAACAAAUCGUUGAGUGGUGUCAAUAGUGGUUGUGAGCUCCUGGCCACCUGCUUAAACUAUAUAGAUGAGGACUUGCACAAAUUAUUUUCUGGGAAAAAUAAGGUUUACUUUCUCCCCCAAUUAUUGUCUCUAUUUACCAUCAACACACCAAUCAGCGAAGUUCUUAAAAUAUGGGACUUUUUAAUUUCCCAUGGAUUCUAUUUGUGCAUACUAGUACUAUCCGCUAUUCUUGUGCAAGACAAGACAGCAAUUCUUACCAUGAGAGAAGAUAAGCUCUCGCAGUAUUUUACCUGCAUUGCCAAUAUUCAGGCGGGGCCGGUUAUACGCUUAGCAUAUCGCUUUAUAAAAAGAAUUCCUAGGGAACUCCACGAGGCCCUCGUCAAGCAUACGCACGUGUUUGUCGACGGCGCGCGACUUGACGAGAAGCUGAGCUCAAUUUGAUAUUAUAAAAAUGGUGGGUCGCAUUCGCUGGAAAACUUUCAUUAAAAAAUAAUAAUGCUAAAUAUAGCAAUCACUGAUUGGUAGGUCGUUUGUGACUGCAUGAAAAUUUAUUGUUUCUUAGUAAAGCUUAAUAAAAUCUA
This is a long non-coding RNA of Zophobas morio, 643 nucleotides long. RefSeq lists it as uncharacterized. NCBI's taxonomy places the organism in Eukaryota, Metazoa, Arthropoda, Insecta, Coleoptera, Tenebrionidae. The transcript has 5 exons. The record is from RefSeq and is a predicted model, not a curated record.